UACGUAGGGGGCAAGCGUUAUCCGGAUUUACUGGGUGUAAAGGGAGCGUAGACGGUUAUGUAAGUCUGAAGUGAAAGCCCGGGGCCCAACCCCGGGACUGCUUUGGAAACUGUGUAACUAGAGUACAGGAGGGGCAGGCGGAAUUCCUGGUGUAGCGGUGAAAUGCGUAGAUAUCAGGAGGAACACCGGCGGCGAAGGCGGCCUGCUGGACUGAAACUGACGUUGAGGCUCGAAAGCGUGGGGAGCAAACAGG
RNAcentral lists this ribosomal RNA (253 nucleotides) under uncultured bacterium. RNAcentral describes it as "partial 16S ribosomal RNA". It matches the Rfam family "Bacterial small subunit ribosomal RNA", at positions 524 to 776 of the family's 1533-position model. The record is from RNAcentral.